GCCUGGGAGGGCGACCACGGACACCCACUCCCGUCCCUCUUCCAAGGUACGAUGAUGCAGCUGCUGUGCCCCGAUGGUUCAGAUGCUCAGGAAGACAGAAGUGCAGGUUAGAAAAGGCUGUGGCUUCCACCUUAGCUGCUCUUCAUGAGGAAGCUGGCUGCCAUCUGGUAAACUGCCCUACCGAGAGGCCCACGUAGCAGGGAACUGAAAUCGCCAGCCAAGAGCCAGGAAGGACCUGGGCUCUGCCAACUGCCACGUGCAUGAUCCUCCCCCAGGGGAGCCCUGAGAUGACACAGUCCUUCUGACAUCGUGACUGUCGCCUGUAAGAGACCCCAAGUCUGAAGCACCCAGCUGGGAUGCUCCUGGAUUCCUGACCCCCAGAAACGGUGACACUAGGCUGACUUUGAUCUACAGACAUGAUAUCAUCGGCAGGGCGCACCCAGUGCCAAACUACUGCAUUCUUUUGACCAAAACAGUGGUUUUGUGCAGCCUCACGGAUGCAGGCUAAAGAGCUUGAGAGCGGGCCUGUGUCUCCACAAACAGGUCAGAGCAGAUUUGAAUUACACAAGCCCUGCAGACGAGCCUCUUCUCUCCUAGCCCGCUGGGGAGUUUACAUUUGUCAAUUACUUCCUUCAGGGCCUGGCUCAAGAUUCGUUUCCUCCAAGACGCCCUCUUUCACGAACUCACCUCACUCAGCCGUUCCCUCCACCACAUCGGCUUAUUACUCAUCUGAUGCGCUUUGUUCGGCUCUGCCACGUGCUGUUGUGUUUUACCUCGUGAUCAUUCUCUACAUUUUUACUUUAUCCUUGAGCUAAAUUAAAACUGCCUUCAACGAAG
This is a long non-coding RNA of Phacochoerus africanus (Common warthog), 837 nucleotides long. RefSeq lists it as uncharacterized. Lineage: Eukaryota; Metazoa; Chordata; Mammalia; Artiodactyla; Suidae. The transcript has 3 exons. The record is from RefSeq and is a predicted model, not a curated record.